Molecule: ribosomal RNA, 402 nt
Filed under: uncultured Blastocladiomycota
Lineage: Eukaryota; Fungi; Blastocladiomycota
Description: partial small subunit ribosomal RNA
Rfam family: Eukaryotic small subunit ribosomal RNA
Source: RNAcentral
GCUUGUCUCAAAGAUUAAGCCAUGCAUGUCUAAGUGUAAAUAAGUCUAUACUGUGAAACUGCGAAUGGCUCAUUAAAUCAGUUAUCGUUUAUUUGAUGAUCUCUUACUACUUGGAUAACCGUAGUAAUUCUAGAGCUAAUACAUGCACAAAAUCCCGACUUACGAAGGGAUGUAUUUAUUAGAUACAAAACCAACCCGGGCAACCGGUCCUUUGGUGAUUCAUGAUAACUUUGCGAAUCGCAUAGCUUUAAUGCUGGCGAUGGGUCAUUCAAAUUUCUGCCCUAUCAACUUUCGACGGUAGGAUAGAGGCCUACUGUGGUGAUAACGGGUAACGAAGAAUAAGGGUUCGAUUUCGGAGAGGGAGCCUGAGAAACGGCUACCACAUCCAAGGAAGGCAGCAGG